UACACUCCUACGGGAGGCAGCAGUGGGGAAUUUUGGACAAUGGGCGAAAGCCUGAUCCAGCCAUGCCGCGUGCAGGAUGAAGGCCUUCGGGUUGUAAACUGCUUUUGUACGGAACGAAACGGCCUUUUCUAAUAAAGAGGGCUAAUGACGGUACCGUAAGAAUAAGCACCGGCUAACUACGUGCCAGCAGCCGCGGUAAUACGUAGGGUGCAAGCGUUAAUCGGAAUUACUGGGCGUAAAGCGUGCGCAGGCGGUUAUGUAAGACAGUUGUGAAAUCCCCGGGCUCAACCUGGGAACUGCAUCUGUGACUGCAUAGCUAGAGUACGGUAGAGGGGGAUGGAAUUCCGCGUGUAGCAGUGAAAUGCGUAGAUAUGCGGAGGAACACCGAUGGCGAAGGCAAUCCCCUGGACCUGUACUGACGCUCAUGCACGAAAGCGUGGGGAGCAAACAGGAUUAGAAACCCUUGUAGUCCCAUGAU
RNAcentral lists this ribosomal RNA (478 nucleotides) under uncultured organism. RNAcentral's name for it is "partial 16S ribosomal RNA". It matches the Rfam family "Bacterial small subunit ribosomal RNA", at positions 332 to 801 of the family's 1533-position model. The record is from RNAcentral.